UGUCUUUUUAGACCCUUUGGGAAAAGAAAUGACACCCCGGGCUAGUUGCGUGCGAACGUGACCUCUUUCACAUCUCUCAACUACGAUCAUGGGUGCAGGCAUCCAUUUCUCCACCGCCAUGACUUGCAUCGACCACAUUUCGCUCGUUCUGAUGGUGGCCGUCAUCAUCGCCAUGACUCUCCUGUUGAUCCGGUUUGCGUCCCAGAUCAACACGAUAUACAAGAAGGCAUCGCGGGACGGAGGGCCUCCCAAACAGCAUGUCAGCGCCGUCGACGUGGUUCGCACGCAGAUGUUUUCUCCAACGGUUUCGAGACGGCUGUCCGAACCCAGAUCCGAUCACAUGUGGGUGAAGGAGGAGUAUUGAGACAUGAUGACAGACAAUGACACCAACAAGCAUUAUACCACGACAACACCGACAUCACGCAACUCUUGCGACCGCACAAACCACACAGAUAUGGCAUCUACAUCCAUCUCAACCCCUGAAUCAUAUGCUGGAGCUUCAGCCGUAUUGAGCCUAUCAGCCCAACCUCAAACGCAUUGCAGAUCAUGCAACCGGUGCGGAUUCGAUCAAAGGGCCGACAGACAUCCUUCGACCGGACCUGUAGCAGCACAACCAUCGCCCCUUCGGUCACCAACCUCUCCAUCCACUGUAUUUGUAUCUAUAAUGAAUAACAAGCC
RNAcentral lists this unclassified non-coding RNA (678 nucleotides) under Yarrowia lipolytica. The record is from RNAcentral. Lineage: Eukaryota; Fungi; Ascomycota; Dipodascomycetes; Dipodascales.